CAUUCAAUUUGAUUUUCCACAAAUUGCUGUGAUUGGCUGCCAAAGUGCUGGGAAAAGUUCUGUUUUAGAAAAUUUUGUCGGAAGGGAUUUUUUACCGCGUGGCGCCGGCGUAGUCACAAGACGCCCAUUGAUUUUACAACUAAUCAACGCGGAAACUGAAUAUGGUGAAUUCAUGCAUUGCAAGGAUAAGCAGUUUACCGAUUUCAAUGAAAUUCGUAAGGAAAUUGAAGCUGAAACUGAUCGUGGGACGGACAAUCGAAAAGGGGUUAGCAAUGUUCCGAUAAAUUUGCACAUCUACAGUCCAAAUGUAUUAAACAUUACAUUAAUCGAUUUGCCUGGCAUAACAAAAGUCCCGGUCGCCGAUCAACCACACGACAUAGAA
Contarinia nasturtii (swede midge) is the source of this 382-nucleotide long non-coding RNA. RefSeq lists it as uncharacterized. Lineage: Eukaryota; Metazoa; Arthropoda; Insecta; Diptera; Cecidomyiidae. The record is from RefSeq and is a predicted model, not a curated record. The transcript is spliced from 4 exons.